AUACGGAGGAUCCGAGCGUUAUCCGGAUUUAUUGGGUUUAAAGGGUGCGCAGGCGGGAGAUUAAGUCGGCGGUGAAAUUUUGCAGCUCAAAUGUAAAAGUGGCUUCGAUACUGGUUUCCUUGAGUGUGGAUGAAGUAAGCGGGAUUUGUGGUGUAGCGGUGGAAUGCUUAGAUAUCACGAGGAACUCCGAUUGCGCAGGCAGCUUACUAAACCACUACUGACGCUCAGGCACGAAGGCGUGGGGAUCAAACAGGAUUAGAUACCCUGGUAGUCCACGCAGUAAACGAUGAUUACUGGCUGUUUGCGAUACAAUGUAAGCGGCUGAGCGAAAGCGUUAAGUAAUCCACCUGGGGAGUACGGUCGCAAGAAUGAAACUCAAAGGAAUUGACGGGG
This 393-nucleotide ribosomal RNA is filed under the name uncultured bacterium. Its description in RNAcentral is "partial 16S ribosomal RNA". It matches the Rfam family "Bacterial small subunit ribosomal RNA", at positions 523 to 918 of the family's 1533-position model. The record is from RNAcentral.